CACACACACACACACACACACACACACACACACACACUGUCAGAUUUGAACGUCUAGAGUCUCUGUUUUCUCUCUCCAGUAUUUUAGUAUUCUAAUCCAUCACUGGCCUGACAUGGGGAUGCUGUCUCCCUCUCUCUCCAUGCUGCUGCACAUACACAGCAUCCAAACGGAAGAUAAAGGCAGAGCAGGGGGAAAAACAAACUCCACAGCAGGGAGAGCUUUAGCCAGACAGAUAAAGCGGCGGAAUAAAGCAGCGACGGAGAGAUACAGUGGAAGUGGAAGAUGUGGAAGGAAAAGGGGAAAAAAGGAAGUAAGCAACUGAAGAGGGAAAGGAUGAAUGAAAGGGUGGAAAUACUGAAAAAAAAAUGAAGGCAGGAAAAAAGGACGGCUGAAAGAGCAAGAGAUAGAGUUGUGUGUGUGUGAGCGUUGCGAUGAGUUGCGGCUGAAGCUUGAACCUCCCUGCUCCAUUUCACACUCUGUAGGUCCUGACGCAUCACUGCUGGAGAACACACUAAGAAACACACACUUUACCCCUUUUUUAAAAUUUCUGAUUGAGAAUAACACUUGUCUCCAGUCAUUUUCAAAUCAUUCAUACGAAUAAACAAAGAAGCACAAACACACGGUCAUGUCUGCUGAACUGUAAAUCCUGGAGCUUUAGCCCUGUUCUCGCUUCAAUGUGUUGAUUUGAGGAGUAUUAAAGGAGGGGUUCCCUCUAAAAUGAUCCUAAUGAUUUUCUUAAGGCGCAUUUGUGACUGCUUCUGUCCAGAGCUGCUAAACUGUAUCAUUAUGACACAAUUGAACUGUUUAUUUCCUUCCAAUGAAACGCCCUGAGCAUUACAAACUGGUGAUACAUUUAAAACAUUUCUGUUUUUUUGUGUGUUUCCACUAUGAAGUGAUAACAGUAUCACUUUGUUUCCAAUGAAAUUACAGUCAGUUACCUCAAAGAAGAAGAAUUAAAGGUUUUCUCACUAAAUACUUUUUGCUGGUAUUUCUAUAAAAAAAAUCGAAUAAACUUUGACAUGAUUUAUAAUAUCAUUUGUUGCAAAAACACAGUGUAACAGUAACAGCAUGUGUGUUUUUGCUUUUUCAUGGUCCUUUACUAGACCUGAAUCAAGUCAUCAGCCAUUAUUUGUAAAUUCAGUUGAAGUGUGUUCACGACAACUAAGUUUAUAUAUUUUAGAAUUGCAUUUAAGAAUUUUGUAACUAUCUGCAAUAGUUAUAUGAUUCUGAUGGCAUGAAACCCCAAUUGACCAGAAUUUUAAGGGUUAGUUUGCUGAAGGUAGGCUUUAUGAACUUGUUGGUAACAGUCCCAGUUUCUGUAGCAACAAGUUGUAAAAUCACUGUGAGCUUGUUAAAAUGUUAUUAAAUGCUCACAGUGGUGGAAACUAGCAGCUAGUCAGACCUACAGAUAAUUAUUUAGUUGACUUCAGCGAUUUAAAACAACUUAAAGGGAAAAUGUUCACAUUUGUGGGAUUAAGAAUAUGUUGGCAGACAUUUACAGUUUACAAUUUCACAAGAAACAGUUGUUAAGUAUGGUGCUGUUUAGUUCUGAUCAACAUGUAUGGAUUUAUUUUGGGUGAGCUAGCCGGCUGCAUCCACUCUGACUCAUCAGUCCACCAAGAACUGAGUAAACGUUUAGAUCUUGUGUGAGACUCGGAGUUGUGCAGCAGCAUGAAAAAUGCCAUGUUCCUAUCUAUCUAACCCUUCACGUAUAAUCUAACCCUUCAAGUAUAAUCAAAUAUCAUCUAGUUGUUUGUUUAAAAAUAGAAAUAUUUUUUUAGGUUCUGCUAAAAUAUUUUAUAUCGAAACCCUCUUGAAUAUUAUAUGGCUCAAAUAUUAUAAUUUUCAUUUGUUGUAAUAUUGAUUCUGUUAUAUAGUCAAAUAUAUGCAGAGACAAAACACUGGUUUAUGAUUUGCAAAGUCAGCUCUUUCAUGUAUACAAGAAAGCAGUUUAUUUAUUCAUAUCUAGAUAAAGAUUAAACAAUUUCUUUAGUCUCGAGAAGUGAGAUGAAAGAUAUUGUGAUUUGGAUGAAAGAUCUACAAAAAGAGAAUUAUGCAGUAGUUUGUAAGUAAGAUGAGUUUUAAUAGAGGACAAGCGUGUCUCUUUUCUUCUGUUCUUUGAAAAACCUUUUUGUGUGCAUUCGUACACGGUGAUGUUAGAAGGUUAAGUGGCCAGGUUAUCUGCCCCAGCCUGCAGUAGGCUGUUUAUUUAGCCAACAGACAUUUUAACUCUUACAAGCACUGGAAUCAAAACAGAAUUAGGGGUCAGGUGUCUAAACCAUCUCACUAUUUGGAUGACAUUUAAGGCCCACUACGUCAAUUUGUUUAAGUCUCAUUUAGAAUCUUUCUAAUCAUGAAGAGUCCAGUUGAAUCUAAUUAAAAUGCAUUUCCAAGCAAUCUGAUUCAGGCCAUUGUCUGUCUAAGGAAACCAACAGAUUGAAAUAUUUAAUCUGAAAGAAUUGAUUCUAAAGAAGCUCAGGCCAACAGCGGAGAGAAACCACUCACUUUUAACAGGAGGAAACCUCCAGCAGAACAAGGCUUAGGGUGUGCCUUGAGCAGCUGGGGACUGAGAGGACAGGAAUGAGUGAUGGAUAAAACAAAGAAGCCAAAACAUGUGCAAAAUGACUUAAUGAAUUGCUGCAUUCUUCAAAAAAUUCUCCAAAGGGCACCGCAUGAAUCUAAAAGCAUCAGGCAGAUCUAAUUCAUAUCCAAGAUUAUUUUCUGUGAUAGUGAUCAUUAUUCAAAGACAACUAGACCUCAGUGAAGCAUGUUUUUCCCCAAGCAAUAGCGGCUGUGGACACAAGUCAUAAUAAGCGCCUUAGAAAAAUAAAAUAAAUGCAUACUUAAGAGUGAUGUUAAAACCAAGUCUAAAGAUUGUUAGUAUUAAAUAUUUGUCAUUACUGCUCCUACUGAAAUGAGACUGUGGCAGUAAAACCAGAGAAUGUAUUGUGACCUGUAUUUGGUAUGAAUGGGGAAUUUUUGGGGUUAAAUUGUCGACCACUGUUGUACGGUUUAUUUUAGCUCAGUUUUUAAUGUCAUCCCAUCUGUUAGAAACAAAACACUUCAACAUGCAUUCAGCUUAGUGGAACAGCAGUUUAAAGUAUCUGUCAUGCAAUCUAUGUUAUUAAUUCAGACAAAGGUUUAUGUAAAACCGAGGAUUGUGUGUUUUGUCUUGUCAUUCAUUCAUUAGCAGUUUUGGCAGUAGAUUUAUAUAUUCUCACACCUAGAAGAAUAUUUUGCUGCUAAUGGACUCUCCAUUCAUCUCAUGUUGACAUGCUGAGUGGGAUCCGUUUUGAAUAUUUAAAGAGAAAGCAAAGGAAAUGAUGGGGAGCUCCUGGAAGGCACCCCUUCAGACCCAUGGACACCUGAUACACCUCCUGAACUCUAUAAAAGACUCCUUCCUUCAUCACACAAGGAUAGCUUUUGAUAUCUCUGCUUGGUGUUUUUGUUUCUUUAGCUGAAUGUUUUUCUUCUCCAGCUGUAACAGAUGCACAAUCCUUUUACUGUCUGCAAUUCGUCGCCAUGGAUACCUGUGUCUCACCUAGGCUGCUGCACCCCGGGUGAUCCCAAAAGCUCUUAUCCCGGCAGGUGCCUGGCUGAAUGGGACAUCAUCGCCGUGGAGAUUGAAACGAUGACACGGGCGCGCACACACAUACACACCAGCCCAGACAGUUGCCGACUUGGAAAUGAGGCUGGCUUUCAUGAGCGAGCGGCUGUGCAGUCUGAUGAGUUGUCUCUCUGAAAUGGAGACAGCCGUGCGGAUUGAGCUGUCGCCGGAGGGGAACUCUGUAAAAAUGUACAAAACUCCCCCUCUGUCUGAUUCUGUCAUCUGUUAACCUUUCUUAAUUCCACACCAGAGCUGGGACAGACACUGGUCCAUGUAAAUGCUUUCCAAGAACAUUGAGGCUAAAAUCCACUGCUCCAUCCUCCAGCCCAUGUCCACACUUGCUUCCUGUCCACAGCAUGUCCGUGUACCUCAUCGGAGUGAAGGAGUCACAGAGCCCACAGGAGGGCUUUUCCCACUCUGUUCCCUGUUAGUGUGUUAUAUUCUCCGUUGGGCCUGUGUUUUUUGCCUGUUUGGACUGUCCAUGACUGUUUCGUAAGCACACAAACCUCAAGUGGGCGUGCACACAAAUAGCAAGACUGAAAAAAAAUAUUUACACGCUGGCCCCAGUUACUAGAGAUCAGUGGUUGGUUCUGAGCUGUGUUGUUUUAAAACUUGGUAUCUCAGUGGGCAUAUAUGUGGCCUCGCAUGAAAUAUUUCAAUUUCCGAUCUUCCGGUGUCAUUUUGCUCCACUGAAUGUACUCAGAGGGAAUAUGAAGCUCUCCAUGCCUCCUCUGCUGUGUUCACCUGUGAAUAAUAAAAUAAAUGUACAAGCUGACCUUUCUUUA
Fundulus heteroclitus (mummichog) is the source of this 4392-nucleotide long non-coding RNA. RefSeq lists it as uncharacterized. The transcript is spliced from 2 exons. NCBI's taxonomy places the organism in Eukaryota, Metazoa, Chordata, Actinopteri, Cyprinodontiformes, Fundulidae. The record is from RefSeq and is a predicted model, not a curated record.